UCCUACGGGAGGCAGCAGUGGGGAAUAUUGGACAAUGGGCGGAAGCCUGAUCCAGCAACGCCGCGUGAGGGAUGACGGCCUUCGGGUUGUAAACCUCUUUCAGCACAGACGAAGCGCAAGUGACGGUAUGUGCAGAAGAAGGACCGGCCAACUACGUGCCAGCAGCCGCGGUAAUACGUAGGGUCCGAGCGUUGUCCGGAAUUAUUGGGCGUAAAGGGCUCGUAGGCGGUCUGUCGCGUCGGGAGUGAAAACCAGGUGCUUAACACCUGGCCUGCUUCCGAUACGGGCAGACUAGAGGUACUCAGGGGAGAAUGGAAUUCCUGGUGUAGCGGUGAAAUGCGCAGAUAUCAGGAGGAACACCGGUGGCGAAGGCGGUUCUCUGGGAGUAUCCUGACGCUGAGGAGCGAAAGUGUGGGGAGCGAACAGGAUUAGAUACCCUGGUAGUCCACACCGUAAACGUUGGGCGCUAGGUGUGGGCCCUUCCCACGGGGGGGAGCGGCAGACUCUGGGAAUGAGAGAGAGACUCUGAACAUUUGUUCGG
This 541-nucleotide ribosomal RNA is filed under the name uncultured Nocardioides sp. Its description in RNAcentral is "bacterial SSU rRNA". It matches the Rfam family "Bacterial small subunit ribosomal RNA", at positions 337 to 844 of the family's 1533-position model. Lineage: Bacteria; Bacillati; Actinomycetota; Actinomycetes; Propionibacteriales; Nocardioidaceae. The record is from RNAcentral.